This 253-nucleotide ribosomal RNA is filed under the name uncultured bacterium. Its description in RNAcentral is "partial 16S ribosomal RNA". It matches the Rfam family "Bacterial small subunit ribosomal RNA", at positions 524 to 776 of the family's 1533-position model. The record is from RNAcentral.
UACGUAGGGGGCAAGCGUUGUCCGGAAUCAUUGGGCGUAAAGAGCGCGUAGGCGGCCAGAUAAGUCCGGUGUGAAAGUCAAAGGCUCAACCUUUGAAUGCCGCUGGAAACUGUCUGGCUAGAGUCCGGAAGGGGCGAGUGGAAUUCCUGGUGUAGCGGUGGAAUGCGCAGAUAUCAGGAAGAACACCAACGGCGAAGGCAGCUCGCUGGGACGGAACUGACGCUAAGGCGCGAAAGCGUGGGGAGCGAACAGG